GAGUUUGAUCAUGGCUCAGGAUGAACGCUAGCGGCAGGCUUAACACAUGCAAGUCGAGGGGUAACAGGGAGUGCUUGCACUCUGCUGACGACCGGCGCACGGGUGCGUAACGCGUAUGCAACCUACCUUUUACAGGGGGAUAGUCAAGAGAAAUUUUGAAUAAUACCCCAUACGAUCCUGAUAUCACCUGAUAUUUGGAAGAAAACUUCGGUGGUAAAAGAUGGGCAUGCGUCCUAUUAGUUAGUUGGUGAGGUAACGGCUCACCAAGACAGCGAUAGGUAGGGGUCCUGAGAGGGAGAUCCCCCACACUGGUACUGAGACACGGACCAGACUCCUACGGGAGGCAGCAGUGAGGAAUAUUGGACAAUGGAGGCAACUCUGAUCCAGCCAUGCCGCGUGCAGGAAGACUGCCCUAUGGGUUGUAAACUGCUUUUAUACAGGAAGAAACCUACUUACGUGUAAGUAGCUGACGGUACUGUACGAAUAAGGAUCGGCUAACUCCGUGCCAGCAGCCGCGGUAAUACGGAGGAUCCAAGCGUUAUCCGGAAUCAUUGGGUUUAAAGGGUCCGCAGGCGGUCUAUUAAGUCAGAGGUGAAAUCCUAUCGCUCAACGAUAGAACUGCCUUUGAUACUGGUAGACUUGAGUUAUUGUGAAGUAGUUAGAAUGUGUAGUGUAGCGGUGAAAUGCAUAGAUAUUACACAGAAUACCGAUUGCGAAGGCAGAUUACUAACAAUAUACUGACGCUCAGGGACGAAAGCGUGGGUAGCGAACAGGAUUAGAUACCCUGGUAGUCCACGCCGUAAACGAUGGUCACUAGCUGUUUGACUAACAUUGGUUAGUUGAGUGGCUAAGCGAAAGUGAUAA
RNAcentral lists this ribosomal RNA (864 nucleotides) under uncultured bacterium. RNAcentral's name for it is "bacterial SSU rRNA". It matches the Rfam family "Bacterial small subunit ribosomal RNA", at positions 9 to 863 of the family's 1533-position model. The record is from RNAcentral.